Molecule: ribosomal RNA, 301 nt
Filed under: uncultured bacterium
Lineage: Bacteria
Description: partial 16S ribosomal RNA
Rfam family: Bacterial small subunit ribosomal RNA
Source: RNAcentral
CAGCCGCCACGGUAAAACGUAGGUCCCGAGCGUUGUCCGGAUUUAUUGGGCGUAAAGGGAGCGCAGGCGGUUUAGUAAGUCUGAAGUUAAAGGCAUUGGCUCAACCAAUGUAUGCUUUGGAAACUGUUAGACUUGAGUGCAGAAGGGGAGAGUGGAAUUCCAUGUGUAGCGGUGAAAUGCGUAGAUAUAUGGAGGAACACCGGUGGCGAAAGCGGCUCUCUGGUCUGUCACUGACGCUGAGGCUCGAAAGCGUGGGUAGCGAACAGGAUUAGAUACCCCUGUAGUCCCUGUCUCUUAUCCC